This 538-nucleotide ribosomal RNA is filed under the name uncultured bacterium. Its description in RNAcentral is "bacterial SSU rRNA". It matches the Rfam family "Bacterial small subunit ribosomal RNA", at positions 777 to 1314 of the family's 1533-position model. The record is from RNAcentral.
AAUAGAUACCCAGGUAGUCCACGCCGUAAACGAUGAGUGCUAAGUGUUAGGGGGUUUCCGCCCCUUAGUGCUGCAGCUAACGCAUUAAGCACUCCGCCUGGGGAGUACGGCCGCAAGGCUGAAACUCAAAGGAAUUGACGGGGGCCCGCACAAGCGGUGGAGCAUGUGGUUUAAUUCGAAGCAACGCGAAGAACCUUACCAGGUCUUGACAUCUCCUGACCCCCCUGGAGACAGGGUCUUCCCUUCGGGGACAGGAUGACAGGUGGUGCAUGGUUGUCGUCAGCUCGUGUCGUGAGAUGUUGGGUUAAGUCCCGCAACGAGCGCAACCCUUGUCCUUAGUUGCCAGCAUUCAGUUGGGCACUCUAAGGAGACUGCCGGCUAAAAGUCGGAGGAAGGUGGGGAUGACGUCAAAUCAUCAUGCCCCUUAUGACCUGGGCUACACACGUGCUACAAUGGGCGUACAGAGGGUCGCGAACCCGNGAGGGGGGANCCAAUCCCAAAAAACCGGCUCUCAGUUCGGAUUGCAGGCUGCAACUCG